CAGCAGCCGCGGGAAUACGAAGGGGGCUAGCGUUGUUCGGAAUUACUGGGCGUAAAGCGCACGUAGGCGGAUAUUUAAGUCAGGGGUGAAAUCCCGCAGCUCAACUGCGGAACUGCCUUUGAUACUGGGUAUCUUGAGUAUGGAAGAGGUUAGUGGAAUUGCGAGUGUAGAGGUGAAAUUCGUAGAUAUUCGCAGGAACACCAGUGGCGAAGGCGGCUAACUGGUCCAUAACUGACGCUGAGGUGCGAAAGCGUGGGGAGCAAACAGGAUUAGAUACCCGUGUAGUCCCUGUCUCUUAUAC
Molecule: ribosomal RNA, 301 nt
Filed under: uncultured bacterium
Lineage: Bacteria
Description: partial 16S ribosomal RNA
Rfam family: Bacterial small subunit ribosomal RNA
Source: RNAcentral